Chenopodium quinoa (quinoa) is the source of this 343-nucleotide long non-coding RNA. RefSeq lists it as uncharacterized. The record is from RefSeq and is a predicted model, not a curated record. Lineage: Eukaryota; Viridiplantae; Streptophyta; Magnoliopsida; Caryophyllales; Amaranthaceae. The transcript is spliced from 4 exons.
CGAAGCUUUAGCCAUCCGGUCGAUCUUAUGCAGAGUGGCUUCUACCACGGCUGCAGCAGCUGCGGAGUUCGUGCCUCCACGUAUGUCCAUUGUGUACUAGGGGACAUACGGUCCGAUUAAGGAGAUGGAGCCUCCUGCCCUUGAGGAGUGGCGUCUAAUUUCAAGUUCUCAAGUGAGGUGAUGACAAGAAUGGCGACAGCUAUGGACGCUUUCCGGUAACAAAUGGUGAGGUUGAGUCACCCAACCUCAUGUUGUUGCGAUGGCGACGUUGUAACGCCCGCCCCUCCGUCACGUACUCGCUUGAGGCCAGAGGGCUUGAGGGAGAAAGCUGAAUCGAGGCGUC